GGAGGUGUAGCUCAGUGGUAGAGUACGCGUUUAGCAUUCUGGUAGGCCUUGGGUUCAAUCCUCAGUACCACCA
Molecule: transfer RNA, 73 nt
Filed under: Fukomys damarensis (Damara mole-rat)
Lineage: Eukaryota; Metazoa; Chordata; Mammalia; Rodentia; Bathyergidae
Rfam family: tRNA
About the family: Transfer RNA (tRNA) molecules are approximately 80 nucleotides in length. Their secondary structure includes four short double-helical elements and three loops (D, anti-codon, and T loops).
Source: Rfam by way of RNAcentral